UACGGAGGGGGCUAGCGUUGUUCGGAAUUACUGGGCGUAAAGCGCACGUAGGCGGCUUUGUAAGUUAGAGGUGAAAGCCCAGGGCUCAACCCUGGAAUUGCCUUUAAGACUGCAUCGCUUGAACAUCGGAGAGGUAAGUGGAAUUCCGAGUGUAGAGGUGAAAUUCGUAGAUAUUCGCAAGAACACCGGUGGCGAAGGCGGGUCUCUGGGCCGAUACUGACGCUGAGGAGCGAAAGCGUGGGGAGCGAACAGG
This 253-nucleotide ribosomal RNA is filed under the name uncultured bacterium. RNAcentral describes it as "partial 16S ribosomal RNA". It matches the Rfam family "Bacterial small subunit ribosomal RNA", at positions 524 to 776 of the family's 1533-position model. The record is from RNAcentral.